Molecule: unclassified non-coding RNA, 217 nt
Filed under: uncultured Tomentella
Lineage: Eukaryota; Fungi; Basidiomycota; Agaricomycetes; Thelephorales; Thelephoraceae
Description: sequence contains ITS2
Source: RNAcentral
ACACCUCAACUCCUCAUGGUUUGCCAUGAUGAGCUUGGACUUUGGGGGUCUUGCCGGCCUAUGGUUGGCUCCUCUCAAAUGGAUCAGCUUGCCAGUGUUUGGUGGCAUCACAGGUGUGAUAAAUAUCUACGCUUGUGGUUUCCACCAUAUAGCCUUCAGCGAUGAAGGUUCUCUGGAGCUCACAAAUGUCCCUCCUCAGCGAGGACAGCUUUUGAAC